Molecule: long non-coding RNA, 504 nt
Organism: Hibiscus syriacus
Lineage: Eukaryota; Viridiplantae; Streptophyta; Magnoliopsida; Malvales; Malvaceae
Exons: 3
Source: RefSeq, a predicted model, not a curated record
CUGAUAGAGAACUUCCAAAAACUCUCCUCUUUUUUUUCUACACACCUUCACUCAAACUAGCCCCCAUCUAUAUUGUGCAGCAGUCUCAAACUGAAGUCUUGUAAUCUUCGGAAGCUUUAGUUAUCUUCAAUCUCAAAGAUUGUUCACCUCAUAUUUUCCUGUCUUCCUCUGUCGGUACCAUGAGACCAGAGAAAAACCCAUUAGAUCUCAACAACUUGCCCGACGAUUACACAAGGGAUGGUAAACUGGUCUUUGAGGAAAGCUCCUCCUCGGGAUCUCGAAAAAAGAAAAGCGGCGGUAAGGAUGGGAAAGAUGAGUGCGGGAAGGUCUAUGAAUGUAGGUUUUGUUCCCUAAAGUUUUGCAAAUCUCAAGCUCUUGGGGGACACAUGAACCGCCAUCGCCAAGGCAAGUCAUUUCACUUCUUUAUUUCCACUUUUAUGUUUGUUUUUACACACUUAGGGAAGCGUCAGAGGUUGUUAUGAUGAUGGGGUUUCUCCCCAUGAA